AAGAUGGCGACCGGCGCACGGGUGAGUAACACGUAUCCAACCUGCCGAUAACUCCGGAAUAGCCUUUCGAAAGAAAGAUUAAUACCGGAUGGCAUACGAAUAUCGCAUGAUAUUUUUAUUAAAGAAUUUCGGUUAUCGAUGGGGAUGCGUUCCAUUGGUUUGUUGGCGGGGUAACGGCCCACCAAGACUACGAUGGAUAGGGGUUCUGAGAGGAAGGUCCCCCACAUUGGAACUGAGACACGGUCCAA
RNAcentral lists this ribosomal RNA (248 nucleotides) under uncultured bacterium. RNAcentral's name for it is "partial 16S ribosomal RNA". It matches the Rfam family "Bacterial small subunit ribosomal RNA", at positions 85 to 334 of the family's 1533-position model. The record is from RNAcentral.